RNAcentral lists this ribosomal RNA (525 nucleotides) under uncultured bacterium. RNAcentral describes it as "bacterial SSU rRNA". It matches the Rfam family "Bacterial small subunit ribosomal RNA", at positions 348 to 863 of the family's 1533-position model. The record is from RNAcentral.
GCAGCAGUGGGGAAUAUUGCGCAAUGGGGGAAACCCUGACGCAGCGACGCCGCGUGAGCGAUGAAGGCUUUAGGGUCGUAAAGCUCUUUUGUAAGGGAAGAAUGUCGGGGAGGAUAAUACCCUUCUCGAAUGACGGUACCUUACGAAUAAGCCCCGGCUAACUACGUGCCAGCAGCCGCGGUAAGACGUAGGGGGCGAGCGUUGUCCGGAAUUACUGGGCGUAAAGAGCACGUAGGCGGAUAUUUAAGUCAGGUGUGAAAGACCGCAGCUCAACUGCGGGGUUGCACCUGAAACUGGGUAUCUUGAGGGCAGGAGAGGGCAGUGGAAUUCCUGGUGUAGCGGUGAAAUGCGUAGAAAUCAGGAGGAACACCAGUGGCGAAGGCGACUGUCUGGACUGACCCUGACGCUGAGGUGCGAAAGCGUGGGUAGCAAACAGGAUUAGAUACCCUGGUAGUCCACGCCGUAAACGAUGGAUACUAGGUGUAGGAGGUAUCGACCCCUUCUGUGCCGCAGCUAACGCAAUAA